Molecule: ribosomal RNA, 301 nt
Filed under: uncultured bacterium
Lineage: Bacteria
Description: partial 16S ribosomal RNA
Rfam family: Bacterial small subunit ribosomal RNA
Source: RNAcentral
CAGUCGCCGCGGGAAUACGUAGGUGGCAAGCGUUGUCCGGAAUUAUUGGGCGUAAAGCGCGCGCAGGCGGAUAGGUCAGUCUGUCUUAAAAGUUCGGGGCUUAACCCCGUGAUGGGAUGGAAACUGCCAAUCUAGAGUAUCGGAGAGGAAAGUGGAAUUCCUAGUGUAGCGGUGAAAUGCGUAGAUAUUAGGAAGAACACCAGUGGCGAAGGCGACUUUCUGGACGAAAACUGACGCUGAGGCGCGAAAGCCAGGGGAGCGAACGGGAUUAGAUACCCCCGUAGUCCCUGUCUCUUAUACA